RNAcentral lists this ribosomal RNA (495 nucleotides) under uncultured bacterium. Its description in RNAcentral is "partial 16S ribosomal RNA". It matches the Rfam family "Bacterial small subunit ribosomal RNA", at positions 28 to 507 of the family's 1533-position model. The record is from RNAcentral.
GACGAACGCUGGCGGCGUGCCUAAUACAUGCAAGUAGAACGCUGAAGGAGGAGCUUGCUUCUCUGGAUGAGUUGCGAACGGGUGAGUAACGCGUAGGUAACCUGCCUGGUAGCGGGGGAUAACUAUUGGAAACGAUAGCUAAUACCGCAUAAUAUCAGUUGUUGCAUGAUAACUGUUUGAAAGGUGCAAUUGUACCACUACCAGAUGGACCUGCGUUGUAUUAGGUAGUUGGUGGGGUAACGGCUCACCAAGGCGACGAUACAUAGUCGACCUGGGAGGGUGGACGGCCACACUGGGACUGAGACACGGCCCAGACUCCUAAGGGAGGCAGCAGUAGGGAAUCCUCGGCAAUUGACGGAAGUCUGAACGGGCAACGCCGCGUGAGGGAAGAAGGGUUUCGGAUCGGAAAGCUCUGUUGUAAGGGAAGAACGAGUGUGAGAGUGGAAAGUUCACACUGUGACGGUAUCUUACCAGAAAGGGACGGCUAACUACGUG